RNAcentral lists this ribosomal RNA (405 nucleotides) under uncultured bacterium. Its description in RNAcentral is "bacterial SSU rRNA". It matches the Rfam family "Bacterial small subunit ribosomal RNA", at positions 917 to 1322 of the family's 1533-position model. The record is from RNAcentral.
GGGCCCGCACAAGCGGUGGAGCAUGUGGUUUAAUUCGAUGCAACGCGAAGAACCUUACCUGCCCUUGACAUACAACGAACCCUGAAGAGAUUUGGGGUGCCGCAAGGAGCGUUGAUACAGGUGCUGCAUGGCUGUCGUCAGCUCGUGUCGUGAGAUGUUGGGUUAAGUCCCGUAACGAGCGCAACCCUUAUUCUUAGUUACCAUCAGGUCGAGCUGGGUACUUUAAGAAGACUGCCGGUGACAAACCGGAGGAAGGCGGGGACGACGUCAAGUCAUCAUGGCCCUUAUGGGCAGGGCUACACACGUGCUACAAUGGUUGGUACAGAGGGAAGCAAAGCGGCGACGUGGAGCAAAACUCACAAAGCCAAUCGUAGUCCGGAUUGAGGUCUGCAACUCGACCUCAUG